Molecule: long non-coding RNA, 218 nt
Filed under: Lathyrus oleraceus (garden pea)
Lineage: Eukaryota; Viridiplantae; Streptophyta; Magnoliopsida; Fabales; Fabaceae
Description: Pisum sativum (pea) long non-coding RNA (PSAT_LNC012436)
Source: RNAcentral
AAUAUAACAUUUGACAUUCAUGACAAACAUCUUUAUGUUCGUAUAGGUGUGUUGAUGAUAAAAUAUAAUUAGAGACAUAGAUUUGUGUAUUUUGUAUUGUCAUGUGAGUAAUAUAUGGAAAACCAAGUUAAUACAAAAGAAAAAGUCAAAUAUUAUCUUUUAGGGUAAAAAUGUCAUAUAUGUGGCUUUUAAAUGGCAAGACUUUAGCUUCGGAACUU